UUGUAAAACUAAUUCUCAAUUGCAUAACAAUAGUUAGUUAAGUGGUUAGAGGGUGUGUUUGUUAGUUACAAGUGAUUUGUGUAAUUACUUGUCUAACAAGCAACCACUAUAUGAAAAACACUUUGGAUGUUCAUAAUCAUAGCUAAUGAAAAAAAACUUUGCACUCAAUGAAAAAAUAAAAUAAACUUCGCAACCAUUAUUCAUCAGUGUAUGUUCAUCUUGCUUUGUUGUGCCUAUUGAUAAGCUCAAGCCCAGUAUUAUACACUGGCACACUGCUUUGAACUCAUUCUGCACUCAUUCAUGUGUGUGUUCCUGAGCCUAUCUUGAUCUAACAAAACCAAUAACUUUGAUUAAUAAAUUUAACACAAAAUAUAAUUUAGGAAUAAUCACAAACAUUUCAGACAAGUUUAUUACUCCAAUAACUUUGAUUAAUACUAUUUGUCAAAAUAAAAUUAAUACUCAUGAUUUUUUAGAGGUUCUAUGUCAUUCAAAGCAGACAAAUGUAAUCUAAAGUAGCUAGAGAAUCGAGAGC
Molecule: long non-coding RNA, 532 nt
Filed under: Trifolium pratense (red clover)
Lineage: Eukaryota; Viridiplantae; Streptophyta; Magnoliopsida; Fabales; Fabaceae
Description: long non-coding RNA (TPRA_LNC006038)
Source: RNAcentral